UNUGACUUGAGUGCAGAAGGGGAGAGUGGAAUUCCAUGUGUAGCGGUGAAAUGCGUAGAUAUAUGGAGGAACACCAGUGGCGAAAGCGGCUCUCUGGUCUGUCACUGACGCUGAGGCUCGAAAGCGUGGGUAGCGAACAGGAUUAGAUACCCUGGUAGUNCACGCCGUAAACGAUGAGUGCUAGGUGUUAGGCCCUUUCCGGGGCUUAGUGCCGGAGCUAACGCAAUAAGCACUCCGCCUGGGGAGUACGACCGCAAGGUUGAAACUCAAAGGAAUUGACGGGGGCCCGCACAAGCGGUGGAGCAUGUGGUUUAAUUCGAAGCAACGCGAAGAACCUUACCAGGUCUUGACAUCCCGAUGCUAUUCUUAGAGAUAGGAAGUUACUUCGGUACAUCGGAGACAGGUGGUGCAUGGUUGUCGUCAGCUCGUGUCGUGAGAUGUUGGGUUAAGUCCCGCAACGAGCGCAACCCUUAUUGUUAGUUGCCAUCAUUAAGUUGGGCACUCUAGCGAGACUGCCGGUAAUAAACCGGAGGAAGGUGGGGAUGACGUCAAAUCAUCAUGCCCCUUAUGACCUGGGCUACACACGUGCUACAAUGGUCGGUACAACGAGUUGCGAGCCGGUGACGGCAAGCUAAUCUCUGAAAGCCGAUCUCAGUUCGGAUUGGAGGCUGCAACUCGCCUCCAUGAAGUCGGAAUCGCUAGUAAUCGCGGACCAGCACGCCGCGGUGAAUACGUUCCCGGGCCUUGUACACACCGCCCGUCACACCACGAGAGUUUGUAACACCCGAAGUCGGUGAG
RNAcentral lists this ribosomal RNA (798 nucleotides) under uncultured bacterium. RNAcentral's name for it is "bacterial SSU rRNA". It matches the Rfam family "Bacterial small subunit ribosomal RNA", at positions 636 to 1434 of the family's 1533-position model. The record is from RNAcentral.